RNAcentral lists this ribosomal RNA (808 nucleotides) under uncultured Planctomycetota bacterium. RNAcentral describes it as "bacterial SSU rRNA". It matches the Rfam family "Bacterial small subunit ribosomal RNA", at positions 46 to 832 of the family's 1533-position model. Lineage: Bacteria; Pseudomonadati; Planctomycetota. The record is from RNAcentral.
GGAUUAGGCAUGCAAGUCGCACGAGAAAGGUUUCUUCGGAAGCCGAGUACAGUGGCGAACGGGUGAGUAAUGCAUAGACAACUCGCCCUUGAGAUGGGGACAACGCCUCGAAAGGGGUGCUAAUACCCAAUGCCGCCUUGGGCCUGCGGGUCCAGGGUGAAAGGAGGCCUCUGAUUCAAGCUUCCGCUCAAGGAGAGGUUUAUGUCCUAUUAGCUAGUUGGCGGGGUAACGGCCCACCAAGGCUGCGAUGGGUAGCCGACCUGAGAGGGUGACCGGCCACAUUGGGACUGAGACACUGCCCAGACUCCUACGGGAGGCUGCAGUCGAGAAUCUUCCGCAAUGCGCGCAAGCGUGACGGAGCGACGCCGCGUGGGUGAUGAAGGCCUUCGGGUUGUAAAACCCUGUCAGCUACUACGAAACACGGGCGAUGAACAAUCGUCCCGUCUGACUUAAGUAGCAGAGGAAGCACCGGCUAACUACGUGCCAGCAGCCGCGGUAAUACGUAGGGUGCAAACGUUGUUCGGAAUCACUGGGCAUAAAGGGCGCGUAGGCGGUCUGAUAAGUCAGGUGUGAAAUCCCUCGGCCUAACCGAGGAACUGCAUUUGAUACUGUCGGGCUAGAGUACAGGAGGGGAGAGUGGAAUUCCUGGUGGAGCGGUGAAAUGCGUAGAUAUCAGGAGGAACGCCGGCGGCGAAAGCGACUCUCUGGCCUGUUACUGACGCUGAGGCGCGAAAGCUAGGGGAGCAAACGGGAUUAGAUACCCCGGUAGUCCUGGCCCUAAACGAUGGGCACUAAGUAGAGGGGUUUU